CUCCAGCAUACAUGUAGUAUGUUAGUCAGCUUACACAGUAACGUGUCUGUCAUAAAUAUAAAGGGAAGGGUAAACACCUUUAAAUCCCUCCUUCCCAGAGGAAAAACCCUUUCACCUGUAAAGGGUUAAGAAGCUAAGCUAACCUCGCUAGCACCU
Chelonia mydas (Green sea turtle) is the source of this 156-nucleotide long non-coding RNA. RefSeq lists it as uncharacterized. The record is from RefSeq and is a predicted model, not a curated record. NCBI's taxonomy places the organism in Eukaryota, Metazoa, Chordata, Testudines, Cheloniidae. The transcript is spliced from 3 exons.